AUUGAACGCUGGCGGCAUGCUUUACACAUGCAAGUCGAACGGCAGCGCGGGCUUCGGCCUGGCGGCGAGUGGCGAACGGGUGAGUAAUACAUCGGAACGUGCCCAGUAGUGGGGGAUAGCUCGGCGAAAGCCGGAUUAAUACCGCAUACGACCUGAGGGUGAAAGCGGGGGAUCUUCGGACCUCGCGCUAUUGGAGCGGCCGAUGGCAGAUUAGCUAGUUGGUGGGGUAAAGGCCUUCCAAGGCGACGAUCUGUAGCUGGUCUGAGAGGACGACCAGCCACACUGGGACUGAGACACGGCCCAGACUCCUACGGGAGGCAGCAGUGGGGAAUUUUGGACAAUGGGCGAAAGCCUGAUCCAGCAAUGCCGCGUGUGUGAUGAAGGCCUUCGGGUUGUAAAGCACUUUUGGCGGGAACGAAAAGGACUGUGCCAAUACCACGGUUCGAUGACGGUACCCGCAGAAUAAGCACCGGCUAACUACGUG
This 484-nucleotide ribosomal RNA is filed under the name uncultured bacterium. RNAcentral describes it as "partial 16S ribosomal RNA". It matches the Rfam family "Bacterial small subunit ribosomal RNA", at positions 29 to 507 of the family's 1533-position model. The record is from RNAcentral.